Molecule: ribosomal RNA, 253 nt
Filed under: uncultured bacterium
Lineage: Bacteria
Description: partial 16S ribosomal RNA
Rfam family: Bacterial small subunit ribosomal RNA
Source: RNAcentral
UACAGAGGCCUCAAGCGUUAGGCGGAAUUACUGGGCGUAAAGCGUGCGUAGACGGUUAUGUAAGUCAGAUGUGAAAGCCCCGGGCUCAACCUGGGAAUUGCAUUUGAGACUGUGUAGCUAGGGUGCGGAAGAGGGAAGCGGAAUUUCCGGUGUAGCGGUGAAAUGCGUAGAUAUCGGAAGGAACACCAGUGGCGAAAGCGGCUUCCUGGUCCAGCACCGACGUUCAGGCACGAAAGCGUGGGGAGCAAACAGG